RNAcentral lists this ribosomal RNA (787 nucleotides) under Desmidocercella australis. RNAcentral describes it as "SSU rRNA". It matches the Rfam family "Eukaryotic small subunit ribosomal RNA", at positions 200 to 991 of the family's 1831-position model. The record is from RNAcentral. Lineage: Eukaryota; Metazoa; Nematoda; Chromadorea; Rhabditida; Desmidocercidae.
AGCGCAUCUAUUAGAUUAAAACCAAUCGGGCUUCGGCCCGUCAAUUGGUGACUCUGAAUAGCUGAAGCUGAUCGCAUGGUCUCGUACCGGCGACGUAUCUAUCAAGUGUCUGCCUUAUCAACUUUCGAUGGUAGUUUAUGUGCCUACCAUGGUUGUAACGGGUAACGGAGAAUAAGGGUUCGACUCCGGAGAGGGAGCCUGAGAAACGGCUACCACAUCCAAGGAAGGCAGCAGGCGCGCAAAUUACCCACUCUCGGAAUGAGGAGGUAGUGACGAAAAAUAACGAGACCGUUCUCUUUGAGGCCGGUUAUCGGAAUGGGUACAAUUUAAACCCGUUAACGAGGAUCUAUGAGAGGGCAAGUCUGGUGCCAGCAGCCGCGGUAAUUCCAGCUCUCAAAGUGUAUAUCGUUAUUGCUGCGGUUAAAAAGCUCGUAGUUGGAUCUGCGUCUCAGGACCUGGUCCGUCCAUUGGACGAGAACUGGGCUCCUAGGCUCCAUUAGCCAGUUUUCUCUACGUUACCUUGAUUGGUUGCGUAGGGUGGCGGGCAAGUUUACCUUGAAAAAAUUAGAGUGCUCAAUGCGGGCUAAUGCCUGAAUAUUUGUGCAUGGAAUAAUGAAAUAGGAUCUCGGUUCUAUUUUGUUGGUUUUCUGAUCUGAGAUAAUGGUUAAGAGGGACGGACGGGGGCAUUCGUAUCGCUGCGUGAGAGGUGAAAUUCUUGGACCGUAGCGAGACGCCCGACUGCGAAAGCAUUUGCCAAGAAUGUCUUCAUUAAUCAAGAACGAAAGUC